CUGAAUCAGCAUGUGUGUUAGUGGAAGCGUCUGGAAAGGCGCGCGAUACAGGGUGACAGCCCCGUACACAAAAGCGCAUAUGCUGUGAGCUCGAUGAGUAGGGCGGGACACGUGGUAUCCUGUCUGAAUAUGGGGGGACCAUCCUCCAAGGCUAAAUACUCCUGACUGACCGAUAGUGAACCAGUACCGUGAGGGAAAGGCGAAAAGAACCCCGGCGAGGGGAGUGAAAAAGAACCUGAAACCGUGUACGUACAAGCAGUGGGAGCACCCUUUGGGGUGUGACUGCGUACCUUUUGUAUAAUGGGUCAGCGACUUAUAUUCUGUAGCAAGGUUAACCGUAUAGGGGAGCCGCAGGGAAACCGAGUCUUAACCGGGCGUUAAGUUGCAGGGUAUAGACCCGAAACCCGGUGAUCUAGCCAUGGGCAGGUUGAAGGUUGGGUAACACUAACUGGAGGACCGAACCGACUAAUGUUGAAAAAUUAGCGGAUGACCUGUGGCUGGGGGUGAAAGGCCAAUCAAACCGGGAGAUAGCUGGUUCUCCCCGAAAGCUAUUUAGGUAGCGCCUCGUGAAUUCAUCUCCGGGGGUAGAGCACUGUUUCGGCUAGGGGGCCAUCCCGGCUUACCAACCCGAUGCAAACUGCGAAUACCGGAGAAUGUUAUCACGGGAGACACACGGCGGGUGCUAACGUCCGUCGUGAAGAGGGAAACAACCCAGACCGCCAGCUAAGGUCCCAAAGUCAUGGUUAAGUGGGAAACGAUGUGGGAAGGCCCAGACAGCCAGGAUGUUGGCUUAGAAGCAGCCAUCAUUUAAAGAAAGCGUAAUAGCUCACUGGUCGAGUCGGCCUGCGCGGAAGAUGUAACGGGGCUAAACCAU
This 874-nucleotide ribosomal RNA is filed under the name Salmonella enterica. RNAcentral's name for it is "partial 23S ribosomal RNA". It matches the Rfam family "Bacterial large subunit ribosomal RNA", at positions 312 to 1190 of the family's 2925-position model. The record is from RNAcentral. Lineage: Bacteria; Pseudomonadati; Pseudomonadota; Gammaproteobacteria; Enterobacterales; Enterobacteriaceae.